Molecule: non-coding RNA, 828 nt
Organism: Camellia sinensis
Lineage: Eukaryota; Viridiplantae; Streptophyta; Magnoliopsida; Ericales; Theaceae
Source: RefSeq, a predicted model, not a curated record
AUUCAAUGUCAUGUUGUAAUUCCCCCCUGGUUGAUUUUUUGAUGCUAGUAUUUGCAAUUGGAUUUGUGAUACUUUAAGAAGCACGGACACCACGUGACACGACAUGGACACAUGGACAUGUAAAUUUUCAAAAAAUGCAGGACACAACACGUUGGGGGCACGUUCAAAACAUAUAUCUUUAUAUUUUUAUCGUAUGUAUAUUUUUAAAUAUUUAAUAUGUAUUUUAUGUCAAAUAUUUAAUUUUAGCAAAUUUAUCUAAGUAUGCUAUUUUAGUUUAAAAAAAAAAAAAAAAAUUAUAGUUUUUUUUUGAAAAAAAAUAGCACUUAGUGUGUCCCUAGCAUGUCACUUGCAUGUCCUUAGCGUGUUCCAACGUGUCCAAAGCGUGUACAAAGUGUCCCUACGUGUCCGACACGUGUCCUGAGCUUUUUCAGCAUGUGUCCAUGUCCAACACGUGUCUGACUCCUGUACACGACCUCCGGAGAGGUGUCCAUGCUUCAUAGGUGAUACUUGCUUGGCAGCUUUGUUGACAUUCACUUGUGUGGUUGUUGUUAACUCAUCAACACUGCAUCUCCUGUUUUGUUUCUUUCUGUUGUGUUAAUUGCCUAAGGAACUAGGUUUUGAUUAUCUCCGAGAUAAUCUUUCUGGAAGCAGCGAACAACUUGUGAUGAGAUGGCCCAAGCCAUUUAAUUUUGCAAUAGUUGAUGAAGUUGAUUCAGUCCUCAUUGAUGAAGGGAGAAAUCCUCUAUUGAUAAGUGGCGAGGCAAGUAAAGAUGCUGCACGAUAUCCAGUUGCUGCAAAAGUUGCUGAGCUGCUUGUACGGGACCUUGU